AAAUGCAAACCAAAGUGGAGCAGCAGAUUUACCCAGUGAGUUCUACACAAAAUCUCAGGUUGCCGGGCUGUUCGUUCUUACUGCUGUUGUCGGUCUUUAUGGCCUGUACCGCAUGUACCCCUUCUGGUUCUGCUGUAACUAUGAAGACAGACAGAGAGAGAAGCUGGAGAGCUUAUUAGAGGAAGAAGCAUGGAAACAUUUUGAAGAACUGAAGAAAGCGGAUGUAGAGCAGAUGAUGGAACAGAGAGUGAAACCUUCUCUCCAGCUUGUUAUUAAUAAUUUCUGGAAAAACUUAGAUUUGAGAAAGGCAGCGAAAAAAAUAAAGGAAGCUGUAGAGUCUGCUGUUAGACAGCCGGUGAGCCAACAAGCAGUUGAACAAGGUGUGCCUCUCACCUCCAGCACUGGCACAACCACAGAACAACCGAUGCAACCAAUUAACACUUCGUUCUGAAGAGGUGGGCAGCUACUGUUGCCGAAAGGGCCAGAGCAGGUGCCCAUGCGGCAACACCAGGAUGCUCGACCUGUCCAUCCUGGGCUUGCUAGGGAAAGCACCCACCCUGCUCCCACCUCAGUCCUCAUGACCGCCGAAGCAGGUCUGGCUCUUACGGUGUAGCCAGAAAAGUAAGUUGGUUUUAUUGUCCUGUUCCAGCUACGGUUGUCAAGCUGACAGCUACCAUCAGCACCGGUCACCUUUUUAUCCCUCUUCCUGCUUCUUGGCCCUCAUUUGUUGCUCUUUCACCUCUCUUUCUUCACCCCAGUGUCUAGUUUCUGGUCCCAGUUUUGCUAUAUCUGUACCCCAAACUGGUAGUUCUAAUCCUGUUACCUACACAAUCUUGACUCCUCAGGUUUUGCCUUUGCAUAAAGCAAGGAAGAAGUAAGCAAAGAAGGAAGAAAUAUCUUCAGGUCUUAAAGGGCAGAAGAAAUGUGAGCUGGUCCUUCCUGGACAUUGUGCUGGUAUUGCACUGUUCCCACUUGGAAGGAACUAGCUAGUGCCUAAUUGCAAUAAAACUUUCUGAGCACAA
Long non-coding RNA from Harpia harpyja (harpy eagle), 1022 nucleotides. RefSeq lists it as uncharacterized. The transcript has 2 exons. The record is from RefSeq and is a predicted model, not a curated record. NCBI's taxonomy places the organism in Eukaryota, Metazoa, Chordata, Aves, Accipitriformes, Accipitridae.